This 460-nucleotide ribosomal RNA is filed under the name uncultured bacterium. RNAcentral describes it as "partial 16S ribosomal RNA". It matches the Rfam family "Bacterial small subunit ribosomal RNA", at positions 338 to 795 of the family's 1533-position model. The record is from RNAcentral.
CCUACGGGUGGCAGCAGUGAGGAAUAUUGGUCAAUGGACGAGAGUCUGAACCAGCCAAGUAGCGUGGAGGAUGACUGCCCUAUGGGUUGUAAACUUCUUUUAUAUGGGAAUAAAAUGUUCCACGUGUGGGAUUUUGUAUGUACCAUAUGAAUAAGGAUCGGCUAACUUCGUGCCAGCAGCCGCGGUAAUACGGAGGAUCCGAGCGUUAUCCGGAUUUAUUGGGUUUAAAGGGAGCGUAGGUGGAUUGUUAAGUCAGUUGUGAAAGUUUGCGGCUCAACCGUAAAAUUGCAGUUGAAACUGGCAGUCUUGAGUAAAGUAGAGGUGGGCGGAAUUCGUGGUGUAGCGGUGAAAUGCUUAGAUAUCACGAAGAACUCCGAUUGCGAAGGCAGUUCACUGGACUGCAACUGACACUGAGGCUCGAAAGUGUGGGUAUCAAACAGGAUUAGAUACCCGAGUAGUC